This 497-nucleotide ribosomal RNA is filed under the name uncultured bacterium. RNAcentral's name for it is "partial 16S ribosomal RNA". It matches the Rfam family "Bacterial small subunit ribosomal RNA", at positions 28 to 507 of the family's 1533-position model. The record is from RNAcentral.
GAUGAACGCUGGCGGCGUGCCUAAUACAUGCAAGUCGAGCGAACAGACGAGGAGCUUGCUCCUCUGACGUUAGCGGCGGACGGGUGAGUAACACGUGGAUAACCUACCUAUAAGACUGGGAUAACUUCGGGAAACCGGAGCUAAUACCGGAUAAUAUAUUGAACCGCAUGGUUCAAUAGUGAAAGACGGUUUUGCUGUCACUUAUAGAUGGAUCCGCGCCGCAUUAGCUAGUUGGUAAGGUAACGGCUUACCAAGGCAACGAUGCGUAGCCGACCUGAGAGGGUGGUCGGCCACCCUGGAUCUGAGCCACGGUCCAGACUCCUGCGGGAGGCAGCAGUAGGGAAUCUUCCGCAAUGGGCGAAAGCCUGACGGAGCAACGCCGCGUGAGUGAUGAAGGUCUUCGGAUCGUAAAACUCUGUUAUUAGGGAAGAACAAAUGUGUAAGUAACUAUGCACGUCUUGACGGUACCUAAUCAGAAAGCCACGGCUAACUACGUG